Molecule: long non-coding RNA, 1381 nt
Filed under: Callithrix jacchus (white-tufted-ear marmoset)
Lineage: Eukaryota; Metazoa; Chordata; Mammalia; Primates; Cebidae
Description: lncRNA (ENSCJAG00000084988.1)
Source: RNAcentral
AGCUCUUCUUCAUCUUGCUCACCCUCCACUUGCCUGUGUACCUCAUUUUUUCCUGGUUUCAGGACAAGAACUUGGGACACAGCGAAUGGCAAGGCUAAAAGCUGUAACAGAAGCAGGACUGAGACAUGCCCCUUGCUCAUCACAUUGAGGGUGAAGAGAAGGAAAUAUCCGUGGCCCUUUGGGCCCACCCCAAGCCAGGGCUGUGACUCCCACUAUGGGGCCCUGUGGUUCCUGGUGUCUUCAAGCUUAUGGAUGCCACUGUGUUCUUUGGUGCCAGCUGUGGAAGCUGCUUGUGGUUCACCUGGUGUGGCCAUAAGCUUUCAGAGAACAGCACCCAAAUCAGCACCUGGAGCAGCCCACCCUGCUGCAGCAGCUGGUUCGGAGGUACAUGUGAAGGUUUGUUACACAGGUAAGCUGACAUCAUGGGGGUUUGUUGUACAAAUUAUUUCAUCAUCCAAGAAUUAAGCCCAGUACUCAAUAGUUACCUUUUCUGAUCUUCUCCCUCCUCCCACCCUCCAUUCUCAAGUAGACCCCAGUGUCUGCUGUUUACUUCCCUGUGUCCAUAAGUUCUCAUCAUUCAGCUUCCACUUAUAAGUGAGAAAAUGUGGUGUUUUGAUUUCUGUUCCUGUGUUUGUUUAAAAUCAUAGCCUCCAGCUCCAUCCCUGUUCCCACAAGACAUGAUCUUGUUGUUUAUGUGAUGGCUACAUAGUAUUCCAUGGUAUAUAUGUACCACAUUUUCUUUAUUAUUGGUGGGCAUUUAGGUUGAUUCCAUGUUUUUGCUAUUGUGACUAGUGCUGCAGUAAGCAUUUGUAUGCAUAUGUCUUUAUGGUAGAAUGAUUUAUAUGUCUCUGGGUAUACGCCCAGUAAUGAAAUUAUUGGGUUGAAUGGUAAUUCUGCUUUUAGCUCUUUGAGGAAUUACCAUACUGUUUUCCACAAUGGUUGAACUAAUUUACACUCCCACCAACAGUAUAUAAAUGUUUCCUUUUUUCUGAAGCCUCACCAACAUCUCUUAUUUUUUGACUUUUUAGUAAUAGCCAUUCUGACUGGUGUGAGAUGGAAUCUCAUUGUGGUUUUGAUGUGCAUUUCUCUAAUGACCAGUGAUAAUUAAGCAUCUUUUCAUAUGCUUGUUGACUGCAUGUAUGUCUUCAUUUGGAAAGCAUUCAAGUCCUUUGCCCACUUUUUGAUGGGGUUGUUUUUCUUUUGUAAAAUUGUUUAAGUCCCUUAUAGAUGCUGGAUAUUAGAUCUUUGUCAGAUGCAUACUUCGCAAAUAUUUUCUCUGAUUAUGUAGGUUGUCUGUUUACUCUUUUGAUAGUUUCUUUUGCUGUGUAGAAACUCUUAAGUUUAACUAGAUCCCAAUUGUCAAUUUUUGCUUUUGUUGUGA